UAUUGACACCUAGCCAAGCCGCAAUCAGUUAAGCAAAAAGAACUAAUGAAGAUGAUAACAACUUAUCCCCUGGUGGUAAAGAUCCAGUCUUAAUAACAAAUGCUGCAUCUACUUUAGUAGAAUGCGCAGAAGCAUCAAAGUUAAUCUUAAUUGCCUCAAAGAAUGGAGGUAACCACACAACUAAUGGUUAGGAAGAAGUAGGGCGAAGAGAAGAACUAUCCCAGUACCU
RNAcentral lists this long non-coding RNA (229 nucleotides) under Elaeis guineensis (African oil palm). Its description in RNAcentral is "long non-coding RNA (EGUI_LNC025040)". Lineage: Eukaryota; Viridiplantae; Streptophyta; Magnoliopsida; Arecales; Arecaceae. The record is from RNAcentral.